This 146-nucleotide unclassified non-coding RNA is filed under the name soil metagenome. Its description in RNAcentral is "partial internal transcribed spacer 1". The record is from RNAcentral.
UAAUAAGUGUUUUAUGGCACUUUUUAAAUCAUAUCCACCUUGUGUGCAAUGUCAGUCGAUCUUCUUUCAUUGGAGAUCGACCAAACAUCAACCUUUAUUUUUAACUCUUUGUCUGAAAAAUAUUAUGAAGUAAACAAUUCAAAAUA